Molecule: non-coding RNA, 104 nt
Filed under: Peptoniphilus harei
Lineage: Bacteria; Bacillati; Bacillota; Tissierellia; Tissierellales; Peptoniphilaceae
Also listed under: 1 other name
Description: TPP sequence
Rfam family: TPP riboswitch aptamer (THI element)
About the family: Vitamin B(1) in its active form thiamin pyrophosphate (TPP) is an essential coenzyme that is synthesised by coupling of pyrimidine and thiazole moieties in bacteria. The previously detected thiamin-regulatory element, thi box was extended, resulting in a new, highly conserved RNA secondary structure, the THI element, which is widely distributed in eubacteria and also occurs in some archaea.
Source: RNAcentral
AAAAUAAAAAUAGGGAGCUUGUUGACAGGCUGAGAGGAAAUUGUUAAUUUCGACCGUUACCUGAUUUGGAUAAUGCCAACGUAGGGAUAUAAGGACUUUUGCUG